GUUGGUUCUCUCCUACCACCAGGUGGCUUCCAGAGAUCUGGAGAGACACAGACAGGAAAGGGUCAUCGACAAGGUCCACCCUCAGAACACACCCUCUGCACUGCAAUGUGGCCAGUCAAGCCCUACCUGCUAAUCGUCCGCUGGCUGUGACCUCAUCGGUGACUUGAUCUCUGUUACUGCCUCUGAGGACGAAGAGGUUCCCCUUCCCUUCUGCUUCCUAGAUUUCUCCAGUUUCCUUCAAGGUGUCCGUGGAGUUGUUGUGUGACAGACAGACUUUUCAGGGAAAACACAACAUUACAUCUAUUCUCUCCAGAAAGAGUGCCUGUGACAGACCAAAGCAACACCUGCACUGAAGUCCAAGUUGGUGAGUCAAUGAGUGGGUUACUAACAGGAGGAAGGGUGAGCAUUUUCUUACAAGGAGCAGAGAAGCGCAACUCUGCACAGACACCAGCUCACAAGACACCCUGAGCUCUUCAAAGCUGGGUGCAGCUGGAGGUUACAGCCCUGGAACAUUCUUCAGGGUUAGCAGGCUGACAGUUCAGGAAUCUCCUGUCUCCAGCAGACUGGGGAGAGGUGGCUGAGGAUCUUCCAAGAGUGUUUCCC
Molecule: long non-coding RNA, 603 nt
Filed under: Cricetulus griseus (Chinese hamster)
Lineage: Eukaryota; Metazoa; Chordata; Mammalia; Rodentia; Cricetidae
Description: lncRNA (ENSCGRG00000024290.1)
Source: RNAcentral